This is a non-coding RNA of Methylobacterium radiotolerans JCM 2831, 106 nucleotides long. The record is from Rfam. Lineage: Bacteria; Pseudomonadati; Pseudomonadota; Alphaproteobacteria; Hyphomicrobiales; Methylobacteriaceae.
AACCGUUCCGAGGGGGGCCCUGCAGAGGGCUGAGAUUGGGCACGCUGCCCUGACCCUUGAACCUGAUCCGGCUCAUACCGGCGGAGGGACGGGAACCUGCGGUCGC